GAUGAACGCUGGCGGCGUGCCUAAUACAUGCAAGUCGAGCGAACAGACGAGGAGCUUGCUCCUCUGACGUUAGCGGCGGACGGGUGAGUAACACGUGGAUAACCUACCUAUAAGACUGGGAUAACUUCGGGAAACCGGAGCUAAUACCGGAUAAUAUAUUGAACCGCAUGGUUCAAUAGUGAAAGACGGUUUUGCUGUAACUUAUAGAUGGAUCCGCGCCGCAUUAGCUAGUUGGUAAGGUAACGGCUUACCAAGGCAACGAUGCGUAGCCGACCUGAGAGGGGGAUCGGCCACACGGGAAGUGAGACACGGUCCAGACUCCUACGGGAGGCAGCAGUAGGGAAUCGUCCGCAAUGGGCGAAAGCCUGACGGAGCAACGCCGCGUGAGUGAUGAAGGUCUUCGGAUCGUAAAACUCUGUUAUUAGGGAAGAACAAAUGUGUAAGUAACUAUGCACGUCUUGACGGUACCUAAUCAGAAAGCCACGGCUAACUACGUG
RNAcentral lists this ribosomal RNA (497 nucleotides) under uncultured bacterium. RNAcentral's name for it is "partial 16S ribosomal RNA". It matches the Rfam family "Bacterial small subunit ribosomal RNA", at positions 28 to 507 of the family's 1533-position model. The record is from RNAcentral.